RNAcentral lists this transfer RNA (67 nucleotides) under Anthonomus rubi (strawberry blossom weevil). Its description in RNAcentral is "tRNA-Ser". The record is from RNAcentral. Lineage: Eukaryota; Metazoa; Arthropoda; Insecta; Coleoptera; Curculionidae.
AAGCUAAGAAAUCUCAAGAGAGAACUUCUAACUCACUCUUAAGCGGCAGCCCCCCGUUUUUAGCUUU